Molecule: ribosomal RNA, 609 nt
Filed under: Triticum aestivum (bread wheat)
Lineage: Eukaryota; Viridiplantae; Streptophyta; Magnoliopsida; Poales; Poaceae
Description: partial small subunit ribosomal RNA
Source: RNAcentral
AUGCUUUGUGCCCUUGUUUGUAUUUGGUUUUCUGCAUAUUGCCUGACGUUCUAUAACUAUCUUCAGGAGGAUCUUUGGCUGUCGGCUUUUCCUAUAGGGACAGAGUGGGAAAAUAUUGAUAAGAUUAAGGAGUUCAACUGGAACUUUGAAAAUUUAGAGAAAGCUCUAGAAGAAGGGGGGGAACUGUAUGGGAAUACGGUCUAUGUAUUUGGCAGCACUGAGCCUCAACUGUUGAAUGUUGAUGGUGAAUCAAAGAUAGUGCUUAUUCCAGUUGUAGUUGCGGUCAGUUUCCUUCCAUUCCUUUUACCUGAUAAUUUAUCUCCUCAUUUUCUUUGGUAUUCUAUUUUAUAUGCAAAUUCGUCGAUGCGAGACUUGGACCAUGAAUUUCCUUCAGUUGCUUAUUUUGUAGUAGUAUACUCCUUUGUGACAAUCAAGAAUAUGCUAGCCGUAUUGCCAGCAUUAUAUGUAUAUACUCCAUAUGGUAGUAUAUACUCUGAGAAUUGGUGUAUAUACCUUAUUUGUAAAAUAGUAUGUAUAUACUUCUUGCUAACUACUCUGUAUUAUCAUGGUGGGUUAAAUAGUUUUUGGUCUUCUAACUCUCUAGGAUAA